RNAcentral lists this long non-coding RNA (1412 nucleotides) under Homo sapiens (human). RNAcentral's name for it is "HSALNT0338834". The record is from RNAcentral. Lineage: Eukaryota; Metazoa; Chordata; Mammalia; Primates; Hominidae.
UGCGCAUGUGUGUGUGUGGAUGUGCGUGUGCGUGUGUAUGCCUGUGUGUGUUUGUGUGUGCGUCUGUGUGCAUGUGUGUGUGCACAUGCAUGUGUGUUCACGUGAGUGCAUCUCAUCUGUCACCCACAACCAGGGGAGCGGUGCUUGUACAACCAGCUGGUGGCUUCUGCAACCAGCAGCUUCUGGCCGUGCAGCUCCCUGUAGGGAAUAUGAGUUAAUCUGGAUGUCAGCCUAAGAUGUAGUCAGGGAGCACAAGCAGUCGAGUUAAGACAGGAGCCUCGUUCAAAGUUCCGCCCGGGGCCAGGCACAGCGCAGGCUCUCAGAGGAGGGCCCAGGAGUCCACAGGCUGCGGCGGCGCGAGACAAAAGUCGGAAGACAGGACCCCGCUGAGGAGUGAGGAGACAGCGGCCAACCCUCCGCCAGACCCUUCCGCCUGGUGCCUUUACUGGGCUCUGAGGAGGAAUUUGGUGGUUCAGUCGGCCCAUCCGUGGACACCAUAAAAACAAAGAGAAAACAGACACACACAGAUGCACACAUAGAUACACACAGAUACACACAGACACGGAUAUAUAGACACACACAGAUACACACACGUGGACACAGACACACACAUAGACACAGAUAUAUAGACACACACAGAUACACACACGUGGACACAAACACACACAGACAUACCCAUAGUUACGGAUAUAUGCAUGGAUACACAAUACACAGACACACAGAUGAUACAUGCAUAGACAGAUAUAUGGACACACACACACGGACACACAGAUACACACAUAGACACAUAGACAGACACAGAUACAGACACAGGCACAUGUAGACACACAUGGACAUACAAUACUCAGAUGAACACAGAGAUAAUAUACACAUAGACACAGAUCUAUAGAUACACAAAGACAUACACACAGAUAUACAUAGAUGCACACAUAGACACAGAUACACAUGUCAUCACACAUGGACACACACAGACACACACCAAUACACACAUAGACAUACGAAGACACAGGUACACAGACACGUAUACACACAGACACGCAUAUAUACAUACAGACGCAGAUAUACACACAGACACAGACAUACACACACACACAGACACAGAUAUACACAGAUACAUGGACAGAUACACAUUCACAUACACACAUAGAUACACAGAAACACACAGACACACAGACACAUAGAGACACACACACAGCCACACAGGCCCUGAGCCUCCCUGGGCCCUCCCUUGUGCAGAGGCGGAGGGGCUGGCUGUCGGGGAGGGCACCUGGAGAGGACACACAGCCCCAUCAGAGACCAGGGAGUGGCUCUGGGAGCUCUUUUCGUCCAAAGGGGCUGGAGCUCCAGUUAGCCAAGGUGAGCGCCAGGUGGUGACAGGAAUGACAUAGGAAAAUAAGACGGCCCGGGCAGGG